This 1294-nucleotide long non-coding RNA is filed under the name Mustela putorius furo (domestic ferret). Its description in RNAcentral is "lncRNA (ENSMPUG00000027847.1)". The record is from RNAcentral. Lineage: Eukaryota; Metazoa; Chordata; Mammalia; Carnivora; Mustelidae.
GAAAGAAUAAGGAGGGAGAGCAUCAGAGGGAGAGGGAGAAGCAGGCUCCCUGCUGAGCAGAGCCCAACAUGGAGUUGAUUUCAGGACCCUGGGGUCAUGACCUGAGCUGAAGGCAGAUGCUUAACCGACUGAGCCACUUGGCCACCUGUCUUGAUGAUUUUUAUACCCCGCCUCUUAGUCCCUUGCCCUCUUUUCCAACAGUUCUUUAUUUUACCUCAACCACCCAUCUAAUGGCCAUAUCCUGGACCUUGUCAUUACCAGUUACUAAAAUCCUCCAAAAUCCCAAUUUCAGGGGUCCUUCUCCUGGAUCCCUUCUUCCUGUUUAUAAGCUAUAGCUUACAACUCUGGGUAUUCUUAUUGCAACACUUUUUUUUUUUUUUAAUCUCAUUAGGAACUAUGAGUCAUUGGAAUUUUUCAUCUUUUCUUUGUUGUUCAUUCUCCUCAUGUCCCCACAUCCGUCUAUGCUCUGCUUAGCUUUCAUAGAAAACUAUUCCUAGCCUUUUACAUACUUAUAUAAACUUCCUUGUCCCACUUUUCCUCCUUUGAUCUACUCAAGUAAAACCCUAAUCCUAGUUUUAUCUAUCUCUCUCUCUCUCCUUCUUUCUCCCUCUUUCUCUCUCAUGAUCUGCAUGCAUAUGCCUGAGCCCGGCUGGAAAAAAGGAGGUUCUCUACCAUGAUUACUGGUCUCACUUUACAUCAUGAUGAUUCCCCUCAAGUGCGACUUUAGUGCUACUGUACAGCCUAUUGGAUUUCCCUGGUCUAUUCUUUCUCUGGCUCCCCUGGAGAACCAGUUUGUGCAUUGUCGCUCCUCUCUCCUAAGGAGUGUUUACCCAGCUGAUAACUUUGCUUGCUCUUUCACUGAAAACAGAAGCAAACAAAAGAAAACUAAAAAUGCUGCUACCACACUAUCUUCCAAUGGAGUUAGUCAGGUCAGCUUACAAAUAGUGGUAAGCGUACAAUGCUUCUCAUCCUGUGAGGAAAAAAAAAAAAAAAGAGGGAAAGCUCUUGACUCCAUUUCCUUUUCAGGCUUUCAGCCCCAGCCCCUGACACCUAACAGACCCUCCCAGCCAUGCUGCUGUGAAUAAACAUCUGAGGGAAACCUGCGUCCUUGCCAAGCAUGUGCAGGUUCGAGAGAGAAAUCCGAUCUCCCUCCUUCAAUCGAAUGCCAUCUGAAGGCCCUCUUCUGAAAAUGUGCCGUUUGGACUGGUUGUAUUCAAGCUGACACUGCAAAUUCGUAACAGCUCCGGGCCCUGCUACAACGCAGCAUGACGGUGCUGGGUAACCCCCACUGUAA